Molecule: ribosomal RNA, 133 nt
Filed under: Schizophyllaceae sp.
Lineage: Eukaryota; Fungi; Basidiomycota; Agaricomycetes; Agaricales; Schizophyllaceae
Description: partial large subunit ribosomal RNA
Source: RNAcentral
GGGAAAAGCUCAAAUUUAAAAUCUGGUGGCCUUUGGCUGUCCGAGUUGUAAUUUAGAGAAGUGUUACCCGUGCUGGACUAUGUAAAAGUCUUCUGUAAUGAAGCAUCAUGGAGGGUGAGAAUCCCGUCUGUGA